RNAcentral lists this long non-coding RNA (1630 nucleotides) under Homo sapiens (human). Its description in RNAcentral is "MYO3B antisense RNA 1". The record is from RNAcentral. Lineage: Eukaryota; Metazoa; Chordata; Mammalia; Primates; Hominidae.
ACACAUUGCCCCAUUUUAAAAUACACCAGUCAUACUAGAUUGGGGCCCAUCCUACUCCAGUAUGACCUCAUCUUAACUAAUUACAUCUGUAAUGGCCCCAUUUGAGAUAUUGAGGAUGAGAACAUCAACAUAUGAAUUUUGAGGGGACACAAUUCGACCCAUGACAUGGGGGAUUGAAGCCAGGGUUUCUGUAUGUGUGUGUGAAGCACUGCUUGAGCCUGAAGGUUCAAGCUUUGGGCCUCUUUUAAAGGCAAAAAUUCUCAUUAUUCACUAAAAUGUGGGCUUUUAAAUAAAACUAUUAUUUCAAAAAAUCAUUAAAUAGCCCUUCAUACUAAAAAUAAAUUAUGAAAUUUCCCCCUCCAUUCACUAACCUGGUAUGACAGCUAAAUAUUAUGCAUUUGAUGACCCUAGAAAGUUCCGAAUUAAAAUACUAAGAAGGCAGUGGAAGCCGCACAUAUGCCCAAAAGCACAUAAGACCAACAGAAUCUAUGAUGACUUAUUAUAUCUAAAUUUUCUGUUAUAAAUUUUUAAUUCAUUAAAACACACCCACACAUAUACCCCUUUCUUCAUUAGUGCCAAAGGGCUAUGUCUGUUAUUUUUAUCCCUGCCAGAAAUCAUCACUGGGCUGAAAGAAUGUAGUACUGGUGACAUGAGCCUGCAUUUCCAUUUUUAAUUAAAAUUCUAACUGACCCAGAGCCAGAUUUCCUUCUGCACCAGAGCCUGUGGAAGCGCCACAGUGGAAGCAGCAGAGACUGGAAGAGCAGGCAAGAAGCUGGGAGCUUUGCACUGAACCAGGAAGUCACCACAGCUCUUAGGCAAAGACCCGGAAAGGUGUCAACAUGGCCACACUACUGCUCCCACCUUGUCCUUACUUUCCUCAUCUCAUCCCACAGGCCACAGAUCAGCCCUGGGGUUCAGAGGGAUCCUGACAGCUACUCCUCAAGAUCCUCUCUGUUGUGAUUCAUCCCCCCGGGGCCCUACAGUUUCUCCUUCCUGACUCUUACAUUUCUUUGGAUGGCAUCAUUAUUUACCUGUCUCCUCCCAUAGUUAGGUGCCAAGCACUGUGGAUUCUGCCUCUCAGUGUCCAGACACCCAUUUUCCUUCCCACUGUUCCUUCCCCAUGGAGAAGCCUGUGGCUGGCUGACAGCAGAGAGAGAUGCUCAACUUGGAGAAGGUGUUACCUGGGCCAGGUGGGGAAGGUUUGUUUGCAGAGCAAAGAAGUGAAGCCUAUUCAACGUGAAAAAGAUGAGGAUGAAGACCUUUAUUAUGAUCCACUUCCAAGUAAUGAACACACUGGAGAAAGUCAGACAGUCAAAACAAUGUCCCAGACUCCGUGAAGUUCCUGGGUAGAGAAGGAGACAGACAUAUACCAUACCUAAUAAUUGGAUGUCCGAGAGAAUGAGAGAAUGGCAGAAAGAACUUUAGAGCAUGGGUAUGAUGGCUAGAGCUUGAGCAGCCAUUGUGGACAUCAGAUGAACUUGAAAGUGAAAACUAUGAGCUGAAUACGACAAAGCAAACAGAUAGAAAACUGGAUUCAUUAUGACAUUGCAAAGCUGCCAGACCAGCUCUAGUCUGCUUCCCCCUAAUCUUCCUUACUAAGAGAGAGAAAUAAACUUCCAUCUUCUUCAAG